GGCGACGGGUGAGGAACACGUGAGAAAUCUGCCUUCAACUCUGGGAUAACUCCGGGAAACCGGGGCUAAUACCGGAUAUGAAACCUUCAGGCAUCUGAGGGUUUGGAAAGUUUUUCGGUUGAAGAUGAUCUCGCGGCCUAUCAGCUUGUUGGUGAGGUAAUGGCUCACCAAGGCGACGACGGGUAGCCGGCCUGAGAGGGCGACCGGCCACACUGGGACUGAGACACGGCCCAGACUCCUACGGGAGGCAGCAGUGGGGAAUAUUGGGCAAUGGAGGAAACUCUGACCCAGCGACGCCGCGUGCGGGAUGAAGGCCUUCGGGUUGUAAACCGCUUUCAGCAGGGAAGAAGCGAAAGUGACGGUACCUGCAGAAGAAGCACCGGCUAACUAUGUGCCAGCAGCCGCGGUAAUACAUAGGGUGCAAGCGUUGUCCGGAAUUAUUGGGCGUAAAGAGCUCGUAGGUGGUUCGUCACGUCGGAUGUGAAACUCUGGGGCUUAACCCCAGACCUGCAUUCGAUACGGGCGAGCUUGAGUAUGGUAGGGGAGUCUGGAAUUCCUGGUGUAGCGGUGGAAUGCGCAGAUAUCAGGAGGAACACCAAUGGCGAAGGCAGGACUCUGGGCCAUUACUGACACUGAGGAGCGAAAGCGUGGGGAGCGAACAGGAUUAGAUACCCUGGUAGUCCACGCCGUAAACGGUGGGCACUAGUUGUGGGGACCUUCCACGGUCUCUGCGACGCAGCUAACGCAUUAAGUGCCCCGCCUGGGGAGUACGAUCGCAAGAUUAAAACUCAA
Molecule: ribosomal RNA, 792 nt
Filed under: uncultured bacterium
Lineage: Bacteria
Description: bacterial SSU rRNA
Rfam family: Bacterial small subunit ribosomal RNA
Source: RNAcentral